UACAGAGGGUGCGAGCGUUGUUCGGAAUUAUUGGGCGUAAAGGGCGCGUAGGCGGUGCGGUAAGUCACCUGUGAAAUCUCCUGGCUCAACUGGGAGCUUGCAGGCGAAACUGCCGUGCUGGAGUGUGGGAGAGGUGCGUGGAAUUCCCGGUGUAGCGGCGAAAUGCGUAGAUAUCGGGAGGAACACCUGUGGCGAAAGCGGCGCACUGGACCACAACUGACGCUGAGGCGCGAAAGCUAGGGGAGCAAACAGG
This 253-nucleotide ribosomal RNA is filed under the name uncultured bacterium. Its description in RNAcentral is "partial 16S ribosomal RNA". It matches the Rfam family "Bacterial small subunit ribosomal RNA", at positions 524 to 776 of the family's 1533-position model. The record is from RNAcentral.